GGGCGUGCUGUGCGACGUCGGGGAACGUGCUGUCGGUCUCUGAUCCUCAUCCUCCCAUCCCUGGGCGGGGUGGGGGGUCCUGGCCCCGACCCCCCUAAUCAAGUUGGAGGAUCUUGGUUCCGCUCUCGUUGGGUUUUUCUCGUCUCUUGGGGUUCUUGGGACAAUCCCUUGCCCAAUGUCCCUUUUCCCAGCAGUAAGCACAUUGGUCUCUCCCUAUAUGGCCGCCUCGUCUGCCACCCCUAUACCUCUUUUUCUCUUGCCCUACUACGGUGGCCAGGAUUCUACUUAGCUCUUUGGUUCGUUCCCUUUUAUUUCGUUCUUCCUUUUCCUCUUGGGUUUCUCUUUUAUUAUAGAUCCUGUCUGCCUCCCUUACCAAAUCUCUGAGGCCUUGUCCCUGCAGGUUCUCCAACCUCUGCAGUUUGCUCCGAAUAUCGGGGGCAGACUGCCAAAUAAAGGACAUAGACACACUCACUUCUUGUUCUGGACUGUCUGGAUCAAACGGAGUGUAUCUCCUAUAGGCCUCCUUGA
Molecule: long non-coding RNA, 528 nt
Organism: Nannospalax galili (Upper Galilee mountains blind mole rat)
Lineage: Eukaryota; Metazoa; Chordata; Mammalia; Rodentia; Spalacidae
Exons: 2
Source: RefSeq, a predicted model, not a curated record